RNAcentral lists this transfer RNA (89 nucleotides) under Candidatus Ishikawaella capsulata Mpkobe. RNAcentral describes it as "tRNA-Leu (CAG) (tRNA-Leu-CAG-1-1)". It matches the Rfam family "tRNA". From Rfam's summary of the family: Transfer RNA (tRNA) molecules are approximately 80 nucleotides in length. Lineage: Bacteria; Pseudomonadati; Pseudomonadota; Gammaproteobacteria; Enterobacterales; Enterobacteriaceae. The record is from Rfam by way of RNAcentral.
GCGAAGAUGGCGGAAUCGGCAGACGCGCUAGCUUCAGGUGUUAGUGUCUUAAGACGUAAGACGUGAGGGUUCAAUUCCCUCUCUUCGCA